Molecule: ribosomal RNA, 429 nt
Filed under: Chloroflexota bacterium
Lineage: Bacteria; Bacillati; Chloroflexota
Description: Chloroflexi bacterium partial 16S ribosomal RNA
Rfam family: Bacterial small subunit ribosomal RNA
Source: RNAcentral
UGGGGAAUAUUGCACAAUGGGCGCAAGCCUGAUGCAGCUAUGCCGCGUGUGUGAAGAAGGCCUUCGGGUUGUAAAGCACUUUCAGCGGGGAGGAAGGCGAUAAGGUUAAUAACCUUGUCGAUUGACGUUACCCGCAGAAGAAGCACCGGCUAACUCCGUGCCAGCAGCCGCGGUAAUACGGAGGGUGCAAGCGUUAAUCGGAAUUACUGGGCGUAAAGCGCACGCAGGCGGUCUGUCAAGUCGGAUGUGAAAUCCCCGGGCUUAACCUGGGAACUGCAUUCGAAACUGGCAGGCUAGAGUCUUGUAGAGGGGGGUAGAAUUCCAGGUGUAGCGGUGAAAUGCGUAGAGAUCUGGAGGAAUACCGGUGGCGAAGGCGGCCCCCUGGACAAAGACUGACGCUCAGGUGCGAAAGCGUGGGGAGCAAACAGG